Long non-coding RNA from Pieris rapae (cabbage white), 582 nucleotides. RefSeq lists it as uncharacterized. The record is from RefSeq and is a predicted model, not a curated record. The transcript is spliced from 2 exons. Lineage: Eukaryota; Metazoa; Arthropoda; Insecta; Lepidoptera; Pieridae.
UCACCGUGAGAAGCGCUUGAAAAAAGGAUUGAUUUAAACCGUACUUUAAUAAUUAAUAACAUACUAACACUUUUGACAUGGGUUCAAAUGACGAGCAAAAAAUUGUGACGUACGCAGGCGACUUGUUGACCUGCGCACGCGUCACAACAUCAAUAUAUAACGAGCGGCAACUGUCGCAACCAUUCAGAUUGAACUCAACCUUCAAGUGAAACAGGCGUAUGUUAUAGUCGUAACAAUGUACACGAAUCCCUUUGAAAGAAAACACUCUGCGUUGAGGCAGACCCUUGACCGAUUGUUCAGGGGCGAGGCUAGGCUGAGCUUCAAGAAGAAAUCUUCCCUUUCCAAAAGCACCAGCAAUGCUUCAUCAGUGUCAUCAUCUUCCAAUGUGAUCCCAAAGUACAACGAGAAACGCUGAAGGAAUGUUUAGUGUUGUGACAGUGCAAACAUGUGAAAUGCUUCCUGAUACCGCAGAACUUCAAACGGUAAACGUCGGACGUCAUAACAUGAAACCGGGCCAUCGUUAGCUGCGGAUAGCAUUCGUUGUGAUUUAUGAAGCAAUUAUAAUAUAUAUUUGAGAUUUAA